Long non-coding RNA from Brassica napus (rape), 5189 nucleotides. RefSeq lists it as uncharacterized. The transcript is spliced from 5 exons. The record is from RefSeq and is a predicted model, not a curated record. Lineage: Eukaryota; Viridiplantae; Streptophyta; Magnoliopsida; Brassicales; Brassicaceae.
ACUUUUCUUUUCGAUGUCAGGCUAUUUUGAUCAUACACGUCCCUUGCCGGUUUAGAAAUUUCUGCAUCAAAGACUCUUCACGCUUUGUAAAGAAAGGUGACAAAGAUGUAGACUUGAUUGCAUCGCUUUGCAAGAUAUAUGACGCCUCAGAGGAUGAGCUGAGGGCAACAAUGGACAAGACCAAUAAUUUGAUAGAAACAAUAUUGAAGAAGAAGCCAUCCGCAUGCCAAACUGACAAGCUAGAUAAUAUUGACACAGAUGGUCUGACAUACUUUGAGGAUUUACUGGACGAGACAUCCAUCUCAACCAGCUUGAUCACACUAGAAAAAGAUUACACUGAUGCAGUCUGUAAUAAAAGCGAACUUGAUGAGAGAGUCUUCAUCAAUGAAGAGGAUAGCUUGCUUGGAUCUGGAAGCUUAUCUGCAGGAGCUGUUAAUAUUACUGGCGUUAAGAGGAAAAUUGAUUCUUUGAGCUCACCUGCGAGGACAUUUAUAAGUCCACUCUCUCCUCAUAAGUCACCUGCCGCUAAGACGAAUAGUAUUGGCAUAAGGUUUAUCCGGUCUUCUUUCUUCGGUUAGUGACUACCUCUGGAACACUCCCUAGACUUGUUCAUCAUACUCUUGCACAAAUUCGAUUCACUAAUAACCCUUACUUUGGAAGUGCAACUGAAAGAAGAUGGAAACGAAACUGAAGAGUCGUAAACGGCGGCUAAAUGGUGACCGGAGUAGUUCCUGAAGGAAAAGGUGGUGGGGAAAGAGCUCGGUUACCCCACAUCUCAUGAAGCAAACUAGCAUAGACCCGUUAUAAAACAAAGUAAAAAUAAUAAUUGUUUAAGUGAGAAACUAAGUAAAAGACCAAAAAACCGAUGGAAAGUUGACAUAUUUACGAGUAUUGCCUGGUUUUACCCAGUUUUAAUCCGAUAUAAAUCAAACCGUUAUCCAAAGUGGACCGGAUAAACACCAACCGUAAAUUAUUAUUAAACCGAAGAAAGAAGACUGGAUAAACCGUAAAACAAUUUCCUUUUCUACUUAACCGUUCCCAUUUCGAAAAACAAACUGUCUAAAUCAAAUUUCCCCUUUCUAUUCCCUUUUGCUCUCCUUAAGAACCCUGGAAACCCAAAUCAAGGAGAUUUGCAAAAUUGAGGAAGAUAGUUGAAACAAGAGAGCUAAGAGAAAAGAAAUUGACGUGAACAUGGAGUAUUCGAUGAAAGAAGUGUAGAAGAACGCGAAGAAGAAAAAGGUGGAGAAGAACGAGACGACAAAGACGACGGAAGAAUCUACGCUGGUAACAGAUGAUGUCAUGCCGAUGAAUUACCUCGUGGAAGCUGCGGUGGCUGUUGGGUCUGAACGGAGUGGUCCGACGUCGGAGGAGGAGAAAGACGGCCGAAGACGAAGACGAAGACGGCGACGAAGAUGGAAAUGAAGAUGCGACGAAUGAUGAAGAGAAAGAAGGGGAAGCGGAAGCGAGUGGUUCUAACGAAAGAGAAAAGGAGAGGACGAAGAGGAUCUGCAUUCAACUGCGGCUGUUUCCGCGGAGGAAGCCUCAGAUGAGGGAAAAGAGAACGAAGUAGAGACUAAUGUCUGUGACGGAAACCGCGAGGAAGAAUCCCUAGAUGACAAAGAAGAUAAAGAGCAGGAAGAGGAGGAGGAGGAAUUUGAGGUUACCGAGGCGGUCAAGCAAAGUAGAAUGUUCUUCUAUGAAUCGGAGUACAAGAAACAGAUAAAGCUAGGGACAAGGUGUAUGAUAGUAGACGUUAUCGACACGUUUUUGUCUCUAGAACCGGCGGCAAGUGAUGCGGAGAGGAGGUGGUUUGAGGAGCAUCCACAAUUCUGUCACUUGUUCCACAAGAAACUGGAUGCAGAUGCACAAGAAAAUUUUAAGAGGAGGAAGAAGACGAACUCAAACCACAAAGUUUAGGGAAUGUGGAUGAUGUUACUGCGUACUGCCGAUGUCGCGAAGAGGAGAGAGGUGUGGUUCAUUGUCAAUGGUUUUCCCAUCCGUUAUGGGUUGAGGGAACACACAUUGAUAUCUGGCCUAAACUGCUGCAAUUAUCCUCUCGGAUACAAGGAGUUUGGUAAGAACAAAUUUGUGAAGCGCCAUUUCAAGAACGGCGAAACAAUAAGGUUGGAGGAUGUGAAAGCGAAGUUGUUGGCAAUGGGAGUCUAUAGAGACAGGUUGAGAAUGAUGGUUCUGUUCUUUUUAGGAAGUGUUAUAUGCGCGCAAACCAAAGUUGGUCCAGGAGCCAAUGAUGUAUUGGAUUUUUUCCAAAGAGCUGUGGAUGAUCUUGGUUACUGCAAGACCUUUCCAUGGGGGAGAUACUCCUUUGAUUAUAUGGUUAAGGAGAUCUCCCACACAAUGGAUCAUUUCGGAGGAUUGGUGAAAGAGAAGACGCUAUGGCCACUUCCAGGGUUCUGUAUUCCUCUAGAGGUAAGUAAUAGAACAUUACAACGCUAUUAAAUUUUAAGUAUUGUUUUGUUAACUUUUAAAAAAUUGUUGGUUUUGUAGCUUCUUGCUUUCAAAGCAAUUACUGAGUUGGGAAAGAGGUUUAGACAACCGGUUGAGGAAGUUGAUCCAGAGUGUUCGAGAAUGUGUCAGUAAACGUUCAAAAAAACAGAAAUGAAAGGGUUUCCUCUUGCAAGUGUUAAUCAAGAACUGGAUAGGAUUAAGCCACAGGAUAUUGACAGCAUCCUACCUACCAGGAAUGAUGAAGAAAAAGCUCUUUUGGCCGUUAUGCAUGAAGAGGACAACGAUGACGAUUGCCCUGAUAUUUCUGUGGAUAGCUGGAAUAAGCGUAUUAAUGAAGGAUAUACCGUCGUUUUUGAAGACAUGUAUCAAAAAGACACUGCAGCUCGACAAGUAAGUGAAGGAUCCGUUAAUGCAGAACAUGCAGUCCUUGAAGGCAUUGCGGCAGGGGAAGAAGUGGCAGAACAGAAGAAGAUGUUGGAAGAUGUGAUGAAGAAAAUGGAAAGUCUUGGGAAUCAGUUUGAGAGAGUGAUGUCGAUAGUGGAAAAAUUGAGGAAAGGUUAGGGUCGCUUGAGUCUUUGUGAAGGAAGCGCAGAAGGGAUCGAAGAAGAAGUAAAGUUGUUGGUGUUCCUUGUCGGAUUAUGUAGUUUUAUGAACCUAUUUUGUUGAAGUUUCAUCCCGGAUAAUGUUUUGUUGGUGAACCAAUUUUUAUGAUACUUUGUUAUGAAAAAGUAGGAGUUAUGGAUAACUGAUUGUAAUACUAGGACAACUCGGUAAAACAAUGAGAAAAUGGUAAAACUAGUAUAACUGAUGCUAACACUAGGACAACUCGGUAAAACAAUGAGAAAAUGGUAAAACUAGUAUAACUGAUUAUAAACUAGUAAAACAACAACAACUCUAAUUCCAUUAAUAACUGAUAGGUUGAACAACAACAACAACUAAAAUUCCAUUAAUAACAACAAACUGAUACCAGACCAUGAAACGGACCCAUGGUUGAACAACAACAACAUAGCUUAAUGAAAGACCAUACCAUGAAAACCAUGGUUGAACAACAACAAACUGAAACCGAAAUGAGACAUGAACAACAAUAUUACUGUAAGGUUCGAACACGCUUCAGCUCAUCCUUGAGCUCAGUGAUCUCUACAGCCAUUUCGUCAACGCGCUUCAGUAAGCCCUUAACCUCAUCCUGGAUCGCGAAGACCCAUGGUUGACGGAAGUGGAGUCCAUCAUCCUGCAAAUAGAACCCAAUUCAUACAUAUGAAACCUAACACAAUCAUCACAUGAUUCAAAUCAAAACCCUAAUAUAUGAAAAGUACCUCAAAGUUGGCGCAUGUGAAGUAUUUCCUUCCCGAAUGAGUAUCAAAGUCGGAGGGAAACUUCUUACUCGGAGAAACCUCGUCGACGAUUCUUCCCCCACAAGGACAUCUAGUAGGGAUCCCGAAAUGAGCAUCGGCAAUGCACCCUAGCAUGUUGUUGUAUUUCUUCAACUCCUUCAUGUCCAUGUACUCCUCGUGUGGGUGGGUCAUGUUGGGAGAUGUUUGUGAGAUAAUUGGAAGAGAGGAGAGAGAGAGAGGGCGAGAGAGAGGGAAAUGGAUAAGUCUGGGAAGAAUCUGGUGUUGAGAUAAGAAGAGAGAGAUUUCGAUGAUUUGAUUGAAAAUAUUUAAUUUUUUAGGCGCCAAACCCAAAAAAAAAUUUCCUCCAAAGAUUUGGUCUUAGUUUUACAUAUUAUACUAGUGUUACGAAAGUUGUUCAUAGUUCUAUUUUUGGUGGUUUCUAACAUAUUUAGUGUUACUAAUCCUUUUGAUUUCGUUUCCCAAUUUUAUUUUUGAUAUUACUACUUUAAAAUGGUAGGCAGCUUGUAAUGUGUAUUAACAUUUCGGUUAUAAUUACAACCGGAAAAUUUAUUUUAUAACAUAUUCUUCGUUAACAAAGUGAGACAUGAAGGUGAAGGUCUUCUAAUGGAUAUGUUUCGAGAUUUUACGAAUUUUCCAAAACUUUUACACCGUUGGGUUUAAUUAUAAGUUACACUCGAGGAAUCAAAUGUAAAACUAAGGGAGACGAAAUUUAAUAUAGAUAACACUAAUGUCAAACAAAAACAUAAUCAAACAAAAACAUAUAGUUUUACCAAGCAGAUAACCAAGUUUUACCAAGCAGAUAACCAAGUUAAAUUCAAGCAGAGGGGCUAGCACCAUUUCCAAACAACAACCAAUUGAAACAAUAUUUUUGCCUUGGCCGCCUCUUGUUAUGUGUCCUUUUCCGUCGUUCUCCACAAGAUGGAUGCCUUUUAACUCUUCUCCUUCCCUUACGGGUAAUGCGGUUCAGAGGUAUGAUUUUCAGCUCUUUUAUGUCAUCUGGUACAUUCCAGGAAGACUUGUCGGGCACAACAUAAAGUGUCCUGGAAUACGCCAAUGCCCACAGUUCCACCCAAUAGUAUUUUGAGCAGAGCUCGUGAUAGUGAAUAUGGACAUCACGCCGCGUGCCAACGCCGUCAUCACCGCGCUUAGUGUAAUAUAUGUACGCAGCCAGACCGUUCAGACACGGUAUCUUUUCAUAAUCUCACACCUUGCAAGUACAAGUUUUCGCAACCAAGUUCGCCAAAAACAUCUUCCCAUCACUGUCGGUGACCUCGUACUCAAGCUCAUAGCUAUUAAGCUCCCGCAUAGGUAGCGUUCUUGCAACAGGCCAUAGAUCGUGCAAGUAGUUCUCAACCAGAGGCACCAGCUUGG